RNAcentral lists this non-coding RNA (45 nucleotides) under Schistosoma margrebowiei. Lineage: Eukaryota; Metazoa; Platyhelminthes; Trematoda; Strigeidida; Schistosomatidae. The record is from RNAcentral.
AUUCAGUCGACGAAUCCUAAACAGAACGAAACACACGUCCUGGAU